GUGACCCCCACCCCCAGCAGGAAGCUGGGCCUGGUUUCUGUCCCUCUGCAGCCACAAGGCCUGGCCAGGACGCUGGGAGCACCACGCCCUGGAGACUCAGCUCACCAAGGACUCAGGGGCAGGGGCUCCCCUGGCACCUGGGAAGCUGGGCCUCCCGGACCCCUGAACUCCCACCCAGACACCAUCUCAACCCAGGUCUGUCUGCAUCUCCCUGUCACUGCCCUGGGUUCUCCACUCCUGGACCCGACCCUGGUCCUGGGGCAGUGUCCCAGCUGCUGUGUCUCAGGCCCCGCAUCCACUGCCCUUGGCCCACCUUCUAUGUGGCCCAUUAGAGGGGUGUGGGGGCUGCAACCUGCUUCUGUUGAACCCCCAGGCCUGCUAGGGGGCAUCAGGAUUCUGCACAGAGAGGCAGGGGACCCGGCCAGACAUGCGGGUCUCCAGGUACCUAAUUCAGGGCCUUGGGCCGAGGACAGUAUAUUUAUCCUGGCCCAGGGGAGUCUGGGGGUGUCUGAGGGUCGGUGAGACGUCUGGGCAGAUUGUCCCUGCCCUGCUGUGCUCUGCCCCACCCUGGCCGGCCCUCCUGGCUUCUCAAGGUGCUCCCGGCCACAAUGGCACAGUCCCCCAGGCCCAAAAUGUGCCCCCAUGCUGCCCGAGGGCCGGUGCGGGGGCUGGUAGCACCCAAGGCCACACCCUCCCCUCCUUUUCCUGGGGCACCUGCCCCCACGCUGUGGCCACGGCUCCCUGGCCCCAACAGCUUCUUGUGACCCCUGAGGCUCCCCAGCCCCUGGCCCCCCAUGGGGAGUUCCCUCCCCAUAAGGGGGGGCAGACACUCCCCUGUGCCCACUCCUUGGGAGACUGGCACUAGAUCCUGGCUGUGGGACAGGGUGGGCCACUCUGGGGGGUGAGACCAGGCUUCUCCCACCUGGGGGACCCAUCCCAGCUCCGGCCCUGGGUGGGUGACAGCCUGGCUUUCCUGUGUCCUCACCGCCCACUCAUCAGCAAGAUGGGGAUGUGGAUGACAGGCGUGCUGGCCACGGAGGGCCUGGUAUGGGCAGCUGUCGGGACAAGGGUAGUGUGGGCGGCCACAGCAGUUGGUGCUACUGCUGGGAAGGGCCGAAGGUGAGGCCCUCCUGGGCUGUGGGUCCCUGUAAACCACUGCCCCCGUGGGGUGUGCAGUCACCGAGCUGACCCGCUGCCAGGGUUCUGCCCCCUCCCUGUCCCUGCUGCUCCCCCAGCACCUGUGUCCCAAGCCUGAAGCCCUGUCCGUGUCAGAGAUGGCACCUCCCUGGGCACAGGCACUUGGAUGCUGGUGCCUCCCCUGCUGCGGACCCCUUUGCUGUGGUCAAGGCCUCCUCCCUGCACUGGCCCCGCCUGUGACCGCAGGCCUGGAGGGGCCCUCGAUGGCCACAGAGGGCACAGGCUGGGGCCAGGAGGGCACCGUCUCCUGGGGCACAGAUAUGCUGGAGUGAGCCAUGGAAUUGUCCAUCAGCAGCGGCAAGCUUUGCUGAGCGCCAGCUGUAUGCAGAGCAAAGGCGGGCCAGCCGGGAAGGGCCAGUGAGGACCCGGGGUCCCCAGCGUCCCCUGGAGCCUGCACCCCUAUGCGGGGGACGCCUGGGCAGCUCCUCCCUCCUCCACUCCCUGCCCUCUCCUCCCAUCCUUCCUGCAGUUCCCACAGCUGUUUGGGGGCCUCCCCUGGUGCCUGGUUGAGCUGCAGGGGGAGAUGUGUGUGGACACUGUAACCCUCCCGAAGCUGGGCCUGGAAGAAAUGACUUCCCCAGAACCUUAUCUGGGCCGGAGAGGGGCAUUGGCAGGGGAGGUCUUGCUACCCUCCCGUCCUCUGCAUGCCAAGCACCACCUGGGGCAGGGCCAGGGCAGGCUGCCUGGACACCGUGGACCUACCCGAGGCCCAGGCCUGUGUGGCUGAGAGGACUGAGGACGGCCGACCCCCUUGGUGACUGCCUGGGCCCAGAGGGUAGUGGGGGGAGAGGUCCGCUGGGUGUGGCCAGUCCUGGGGGAACUGUGUCCACUUAGGGAUAGGGGACAGCUAGCAGAGCCCUCCCAGCUGACCAGGGGAGGCCCUGUGGGCACAGGAGGGGCCCCAGGUGUAGGCACAGGUGCAGGGCUGUGCGGCUCUGUGUCACCCAGGUGGAGCGUCUUGCCCCGUUUGAUGGCUGACAAAGUCCCCUUGAAUGCGUCAGACCCAGCAUGGUCCCAGGGUCCUGACCCUAACAUAUCACCCCAAAUUACCCUCACCCCAGCCUACCCCUGCCCUAAAUUCACCCCAAGCCGCCACCCAAACCCCUUGGCCCCAACACCUUAACCUUAGACCCAGCCCUACACCCCAAGCCCUAAUCCCUAACCGCUAGCCUCACCCUAACCUUCCUACCGGAUGCCACCUGGCAAACAUCCUCCUGGCCCCUGUCCACCCCUCCCCCGGGGAUCCGGGAGGCAGUGGGGUCCCCGGGAGGCUGCUCCCUGCAGAACGCAGUGGAUGGAUGCGUGCGCACCGAGCCCCGGCCCCCUCUGGCUUCCUUCAUCCUCCCCAGGCACUUCCCCCUGGGCCAGAGGGCAGCCUGGCAGCCCUGGACUCCAGGAGGGCCGAGUCUGGGGAGCUGGAGGACGUCACAUUCCACUCUUGAUGAUGCCGCCCCAGUCCUACAAUCUGGACAGCGGACAGGCUGCCCAUUUCCUCCAUCUCCGGUAACGAGAAGCAAAUGCUGAUCCUGGCCUGUCUCCUGGCUCCCGGGUCCCUAGGUUCCUGCUGCCCCUGCUAGUUCCUGGAAGAUGCCAGCAGGAGGGAGGGCGGUGGAGCUGGACUUGCGCCUACAACAGGAUCUGGCCAUAAACGCAGUCAGGGCGAGGCUGCGGGGUGGGCGGCUGAGACUCCUGGUGGACUCUCUCCCCUCCCCCCAGCCCUGGCACGCAGCUGUCGGCUCUUCCCGGGAAGCCACAGCCUUUGUUUGUUCCUUGAAGGAGCUGGUGCGUUGCCUGCGAGCUUCUCUGCAGGCUUGGGGGUCGUGCCUGCUGUCCACCUCCCCGAAACCAGCUCCUUCCAGCAGCAGGCUGCAAGCCUGGAGAGGCCACCGGGGACCAGGCAGGGAAACUGAGGCCCCAAAAAGGCAGGGAACAGGUGCAGGGGGGCCUGUCUGACCUGCGCUGGGACUGGGCCAGGCGAGUCUCCUCCAGGGUCCAGCCCCAUCUUGGACAGAGGAAGUUGAUAGGAAAGGCAGGAGUGGCCUCUUCUAACAAUUUCAGCUCUGAAGGGGCCGAGAGUGGCGAUGCUGACAGCAUUUCCUCCAGCUCCCACCUGCCUGCUCCGGGGAAGUCCCCACCUAGGCAGUGAUAUUCACCUGGUGAUACUAAUAAUUGUCUCAGGUGAUAAAUUGUCUCAGCUGCUCUCCCACAUGGCCCACGGGUCCCUGGAGGUUCCCUGGAUCCUUUCAGGGGAGACCAUGGGCCCUAAACGAUCUUCAUAACAAAACUGAGAAGUGGCCUGGCUUCUUCACUGCGCUCCUAUGGGCUGGGAUCCAGCAUGGCCCGACUGGGCAGCUCCUUUCCUUCCCUGACGCUGCUCCAGGGGAAAGAAGGGCCAGGGUCUAUCCAGGGUGCCCCAGGUGGAUCAGUGAAUGCCCCUGAAGCCACGUGCCAGUUGCGUCCCCGUCAGAUGCCCCCAUCCCAGUCUCCUGAGCCUCAUUAGUCACCCCUCAUGUUCCUCUGGGGACCCCAGGCCCCAGCUCCUGUCUGGUUAGAGGCUGAAGGGGUCUGAGCUACACCUGCCCUAGGGGACCUCGGGAGGGGUCUUGGUGUCCUCCGACUUCUAUCCCCAGAAGGGAGCUUAGAAUGCAGCUGAGGCUUCCCCCGGGGCCCAGGGUGUCUGUGUCCGAGCCACAGCCAGAGUGUGCCCUGGAGAGCCGCUGGGACGCAUGGUGAGCUCUCGUCAUCCUGUCCCCACUCCAGGCUCAGGCUGGAGCCGUGAUGCCACCACUGCACUCCAACCUGGGCAACAGAGUGAGACCCUGUCUCUAUAAAAUAGAAACAAAAAUAAGAGCAUGUGGUUUCUGCGGUUUCCUGGCCAAAAAUGCAUAACCCCAAUCUCAAUCAUAAGAAAACAUCCAACGUCCCCAACAAGGGGAGGUUCUACACACACCUGCCCAGCGCCCCUCAAAAGUGUCAAGGGCGUGAAAGACAUGGAGGGAUGUAGAAGACGGGAGAGCCAGUGUUGCCUGCGGUGUGUUCACAACGGUCACAGGGACGGAUCCUCGCCUGCCUUGCCGGCCCUCCACAGACAGGACAGGGACAGGUCGUCAGCUGUCAUGGAGGCCCUCGCAGUUUUCUGAAUGUGGACUUGCUGUUCCUGCCCAUGGCUUCAUCCACGGACUCGACAGCACCCCACUGUCCAUCAUACCCCCAGCAAUGCUGUUCCCGCAGCAGGACGCAUCCCAUGCUCAGGCAGUGCUCCCAGGAGCAGCGGGUUAAUAGAGCGUAGGACGGCCCCUGAAGACCAGUUACGUGGCCCUCCGAAGACCAGGAGGCCCUCCGAAAGGACAGGCGCAACCCCGCAGAACAGACUGGGUGCUCGCCAUCCGUGUCCGGUGCUGCUUCUCUGUGGCGAUGGUAUCCAGGAAUCAUGGGUGGGAGUCACGGCCACUGUCCCUGUCGCACCAGCCGCCUGCUCACACAGCCACCGUUCACUCCAGCUCGAAGGUCCUGCUUCUUCAGGGAGGAGCGCUCCCACCAGGGUCGAGGCGCUGGCCGUGUGGAGUUCGACGUCGGGAGUGUCCCCAGGGGCCCCUCUUCCCGCUGAAUCCACAGAGAGAAUGUGAGCUCGCUGUCCGGCGGGCGGGGCUGGGCAUCCCGUCCGCCGAGGGGACACCGGAUCGCUGCGGAGAGAGGACUGGAGCCAGAGGCCAGCCCAGACCAGAACUGAGACCAGGCGACCAGCAGAGCCUGCACAAUAAUAAUGCUUCAUUUUGCAAAUGUAUUUUGUUCUUUUAUUGUGUAUAUUUAUCAUGUCCAAUGUGAUGUUUUGAAACGUGUUUACACUGUGGUUAAAUCAAGCGGCAUAACACACACGACUUCACAUACUUCCCA
This is a long non-coding RNA of Symphalangus syndactylus (siamang), 5091 nucleotides long. RefSeq lists it as uncharacterized. NCBI's taxonomy places the organism in Eukaryota, Metazoa, Chordata, Mammalia, Primates, Hylobatidae. The record is from RefSeq and is a predicted model, not a curated record.